Small nuclear RNA from Cricetulus griseus (Chinese hamster), 106 nucleotides. Lineage: Eukaryota; Metazoa; Chordata; Mammalia; Rodentia; Cricetidae. The record is from Ensembl.
AUUCCUUGUUUCAGCAGAAUAUAUACUAAAAUUGAACCAAUGCAGAGAACAUUAACGUGGUCCUGGUGCAAGGAUGGCACAAAUUCAUAAAGCAUUUCUUUUGUAU